RNAcentral lists this ribosomal RNA (253 nucleotides) under uncultured bacterium. RNAcentral describes it as "partial 16S ribosomal RNA". It matches the Rfam family "Bacterial small subunit ribosomal RNA", at positions 524 to 776 of the family's 1533-position model. The record is from RNAcentral.
UACAGAGGGUGCAAGCGUUGUUCGGAAUUAUUGGGCGUAAAGGGCGCGUAGGCGGUGCUGUAAGUCUGUAGUGAAAUCUCUGGGCUCAACUCAGAGUCUGCUAUAGAAACUGCAGUGCUGGAGUGUGGGAGAGGUGAGUGGAAUUCCCGGUGUAGCGGUGAAAUGCGUAGAUAUUGGGAGGAACACCAGUGGCGAAGGCGGCUCACUGGACCGGUACUGACGCUGAGGUGCGAAAGCGUGGGGAGCAAACAGG